GGUUAAGCGACUAAGCGUACACGGUGGAUGCCCUGGCAGUCAGAGGCGAUGAAGGACGUGCUAAUCUGCGAUAAGCGUCGGUAAGGUGAUAUGAACCGUUAUAACCGGCGAUUUCCGAAUGGGGAAACCCAGUGUGAUUCGUCACACUAUCAUUAACUGAAUCCAUAGGUUAAUGAGGCGAACCGGGGGAACUGAAACAUCUAAGUACCCCGAGGAAAAGAAAUCAACCGAGAUUCCCCCAGUAGCGGCGAGCGAACGGGGAGCAGCCCAGAGCCUGAAUCAGUGUGUGUGUUAGUGGAAGCGUCUGGAAAGGCGCGCGAUACAGGGUGACAGCCCCGUACACAAAAAUGCACAUAUUGUGAGCUCGAUGAGUAGGGCGGGACACGUGGUAUCCUGUCUGAAUAUGGGGGGACCAUCCUCCAAGGCUAAAUACUCCUGACUGACCGAUAGUGAACCAGUACCGUGAGGGAAAGGCGAAAAGAACCCCGGCGAGGGGAGUGAAAAAGAACCUGAAACCGUGUACGUACAAGCAGUGGGAGCACGCUUAGGCGUGUGACUGCGUACCUUUUGUAUAAUGGGUCAGCGACUUAUAUUCUGUAGCAAGGUUAACCGAAUAGGGGAGCCGAAGGGAAACCGAGUCUUAACUGGGCGUUAAGUUGCAGGGUAUAGACCCGAAACCCGGUGAUCUAGCCAUGGGCAGGUUGAAGGUUGGGUAACACUAACUGGAGGACCGAACCGACUAAUGUUGAAAAAUUAGCGGAUGACUUGUGGCUGGGGGUGAAAGGCCAAUCAAACCGGGAGAUAGCUGGUUCUCCCCGAAAGCUAUUUAGGUAGCGCCUCGUGAAUUCAUCUCCGGGGGUAGAGCACUGUUUCGGCAAGGGGGUCAUCCCGACUUACCAACCCGAUGCAAACUGCGAAUACCGGAGAAUGUUAUCACGGGAGACACACGGCGGGUGCUAACGUCCGUCGUGAAGAGGGAAACAACCCAGACCGCCAGCUAAGGUCCCAAAGUCAUGGUUAAGUGGGAAACGAUGUGGGAAGGCCCAGACAGCCAGGAUGUUGGCUUAGAAGCAGCCAUCAUUUAAAGAAAGCGUAAUAGCUCACUGGUCGAGUCGGCCUGCGCGGAAGAUGUAACGGGGCUAAACCAUGCACCGAAGCUGCGGCAGCGACGCUUAUGCGUUGUUGGGUAGGGGAGCGUUCUGUAAGCCUGUGAAGGUGUGCUGUGAGGCAUGCUGGAGGUAUCAGAAGUGCGAAUGCUGACAUAAGUAACGAUAAAGCGGGUGAAAAGCCCGCUCGCCGGAAGACCAAGGGUUCCUGUCCAACGUUAAUCGGGGCAGGGUGAGUCGACCCCUAAGGCGAGGCCGAAAGGCGUAGUCGAUGGGAAACAGGUUAAUAUUCCUGUACUUGGUGUUACUGCGAAGGGGGGACGGAGAAGGCUAUGUUGGUCGGGCGACGGUUGUCCCGGUUUAAGCGUGUAGGCUGGUUUUCCAGGCAAAUCCGGAAAAUCAAGGCUGAGGCGUGAUGACGAGGCACUACGGUGCUGAAGCAACAAAUGCCCUGCUUCCAGGAAAAGCCUCUAAGCAUCAGGUAACAUCAAAUCGUACCCCAAACCGACACAGGUGGUCAGGUAGAGAAUACCAAGGCGCUUGAGAGAACUCGGGUGAAGGAACUAGGCAAAAUGGCUGCCGUAACUUCGGGAGAAGGCACGCUGAUAUGUAGGUGAAGUCCCUUGCGGAUGGAGCUGAAAUCAGUCGAAGAUACCAGCUGGCUGCAACUGUUUAUUAAAAACACAGCACUGUGCAAACACGAAAGUGGACGUAUACGGUGUGACGCCUGCCCGGUGUCGGAAGGUUAAUUGAUGGGGUCAGCGCAAGCGAAGCUCUUGAUCGAAGCCCCGGUAAACGGCGGCCGUAACUAUAACGGUCCUAAGGUAGCGAAAUUCCUUGUCGGGUAAGUUCCGACCUGCACGAAUGGCGUAAUGAUGGCCAGGCUGUCUCCACCCGAGACUCAGUGAAAUUGAACUCGCUGUGAAGAUGCAGUGUACCCGCGGCAAGACGGAAAGACCCCGUGAACCUUUACUAUAGCUUGACACUGAACAUUGAGCCUUGAUGUGUAGGAUAGGUGGGAGGCUUUGAAGUGUGGACGCCAGUCUGCAUGGAGCCGACCUUGAAAUACCACCCUUUAAUGUUUGAUGUUCUAACGUUGACCCCUAAUCGGGGUUGCGGACAGUGUCUGGUGGGUAGUUUGACUGGGGCGGUCUCCUCCUAAAGAGUAACGGAGGAGCACGAAGGUUGGCUAAUCCUGGUCGGACAUCAGGAGGUUAGUGCAAUGGCAUAAGCCAGCUUGACUGCGAGCGUGACGGCGCGAGCAGGUGCGAAAGCAGGUCAUAGUGAUCCGGUGGUUCUGAAUGGAAGGGCCAUCGCUCAACGGAUAAAAGGUACUCCGGGGAUAACAGGCUGAUACCGCCCAAGAGUUCAUAUCGACGGCGGUGUUUGGCACCUCGAUGUCGGCUCAUCACAUCCUGGGGCUGAAGUAGGUCCCAAGGGUAUGGCUGUUCGCCAUUUAAAGUGGUACGCGAGCUGGGUUUAGAACGUCGUGAGACAGUUCGGUCCCUAUCUGCCGUGGGCGCUGGAGAACUGAGGGGGGCUGCUCCUAGUACGAGAGGACCGGAGUGGACGCAUCACUGGUGUUCGGGUUGUCAUGCCAAUGGCACUGCCCGGUAGCUAAAUGCGGAAGAGAUAAGUGCUGAAAGCAUCUAAGCACGAAACUUGCCCCGAGAUGAGUUCUCCCUGACUCUUUAAGGGUCCUGAAGGAACGUUGAAGACGACGACGUUGAUAGGCCGGGUGUGUAAGCGCAGCGAUGCGUUGAGCUAACCGGUACUAAUGAACCGUGAGGCUUAACCUU
This 2905-nucleotide ribosomal RNA is filed under the name Escherichia coli. RNAcentral's name for it is "23S ribosomal RNA". It matches the Rfam family "Bacterial large subunit ribosomal RNA". The record is from RNAcentral. Lineage: Bacteria; Pseudomonadati; Pseudomonadota; Gammaproteobacteria; Enterobacterales; Enterobacteriaceae.